This 168-nucleotide unclassified non-coding RNA is filed under the name uncultured Trichocomaceae. RNAcentral describes it as "sequence contains ITS2". Lineage: Eukaryota; Fungi; Ascomycota; Eurotiomycetes; Eurotiales; Trichocomaceae. The record is from RNAcentral.
CUACCCCUCAAGCGCGGCUUGUGUGUUGGGCGCUGUCCCUCCCCUCCUUUGGGGGGACAGGCCUGAAAGGCAGUGGUGGCGUCGCGUCCGGUCCUCGAGCGUAUGGGGCUUUGUCACCCGCUCUGUGAGGAUCCGGCCGGGGCCUGUCUCACCCCCAAUCUUCUCUAA